This 66-nucleotide transfer RNA is filed under the name Periplaneta constricta. RNAcentral's name for it is "tRNA-Ile". Lineage: Eukaryota; Metazoa; Arthropoda; Insecta; Blattodea; Blattidae. The record is from RNAcentral.
AAUAAAGUGCCUGAAAAAGGAUUAUCGUGAUAGGAUAAAUAAUGUAAUUUUAAGUUACCUUUAUUA